CGGGGAAUUUUGGACAAUGGGCGCAAGCCUGAUCCAGCCAUGCCGCGUGCGGGAAGAAGGCCUUCGGGUUGUAAACCGCUUUUGUCAGGGAAGAAUCUUCUGAGUUAAUACCUCGGGAGGAUGACGGUACCUGAAGAAUAAGCACCGGCUAACUACGUGCCAGCAGCCGCGGUAAUACGUAGGGUGCAAGCGUUAAUCGGAAUUACUGGGCGUAAAGCGUGCGCAGGCGGUUUUGUAAGACAGAGGUGAAAUCCCCGGGCUCAACCUGGGAACUGCCUUUGUGACUGCAAGGCUUGAGUGCGGCAGAGGGGGGAUGGAAUUCCGCGUGUAGCAGUGAAAUGCGUAGAUAUGCGGAGGAACACCGAUGGCGAAGGAAUCCCCUGGGCCUGNACUGACGCUCAUGCACGAAAGCGUGGGGAGCAAACAGGAUUAGAUAGCCCUGGUAGUCCACGCCCUAAACGAUGUCAACUGGUUGUUGGGAAGGUUCCUUCUCAGUAACGUAGCUAACGCGUGAAGUUGACCGCCUGGGGAGUACGG
This 537-nucleotide ribosomal RNA is filed under the name uncultured bacterium. Its description in RNAcentral is "partial 16S ribosomal RNA". It matches the Rfam family "Bacterial small subunit ribosomal RNA", at positions 355 to 885 of the family's 1533-position model. The record is from RNAcentral.